UUUUAUACAAAAUCAGAUUCUGAAUUACAUAGAAUUUUCAAUAAGGGCUUUCAAAAUCACAUUAUAGCUCAUCUUAAAUGAUUACGAUUGAAAAUACAUAUUUCAAACAUAUAAGAGCAUAUUCAGAAUCUUUGUAUUAAAUGUUGAGUUUUGGUACUAAAUGGAGGAUUUUUUAACAAGUAUUAGGGUAUUAUGUAUCAAAGUUA
This 206-nucleotide long non-coding RNA is filed under the name Phoenix dactylifera (date palm). RNAcentral describes it as "long non-coding RNA (PDAC_LNC019362)". The record is from RNAcentral. Lineage: Eukaryota; Viridiplantae; Streptophyta; Magnoliopsida; Arecales; Arecaceae.